This 451-nucleotide ribosomal RNA is filed under the name uncultured bacterium. RNAcentral describes it as "partial 16S ribosomal RNA". It matches the Rfam family "Bacterial small subunit ribosomal RNA", at positions 28 to 507 of the family's 1533-position model. The record is from RNAcentral.
AGCGAACGCUGGCGGCAUGCCUAACACAUGCAAGUCGCACGGGGGGGCUUCGGCCUCCCAGUGGCGGACGGGUGAGGAACGCGUAGGGACCUGUCGAGGGGUGGGGGAUAACCGCGGGAAACUGCGGCUAAUACCGCAUGACGCCGCGGCGUGACAGCCGGGGCCAAAGGCGAAAGCCGCCCGCCGAGGGGCCUGCGUCCGAUUAGCUGGUUGGCGGGGUAGCGGCCCACCAAGGCGUCGAUCGGUAGCUGGUCUGAGAGGGUGAUCAGCCACACCGGGACUGAGACACGGCCCGGAAUCCUACGGGAGGCAGCAGUGGGAAAUAUUGGACAAUGGGCGCAAGCCUGAUCCAGCAAUGCCGCGUGGGUGAAGAAGGUCUUCGGAUUGUAAAGCCCUUUCGGCGGGGACGAUGGUGACGGUACCCGCAGAAGAAGCCCCGGCUAACUUCGUG